RNAcentral lists this long non-coding RNA (2516 nucleotides) under Homo sapiens (human). RNAcentral's name for it is "HSALNT0134706". The record is from RNAcentral. Lineage: Eukaryota; Metazoa; Chordata; Mammalia; Primates; Hominidae.
GCAGCCUCCAACUCCUGGGCUCAAGCUAUCCUCCUGCCCCAGCUUCCAAAGUAGCUGGGACUACAGACAUGCACCACCACACCCAGCUAACUUGUUUUGUUUUUUGUAGAGAUGGGAACUCACUGUGUUGCCUAGGCUGGACUUGAACUCCUGGGCUCAUGCGAUCCUCCCUCCUUAGCCUCCCAAAAUGCUGGGAGUACAGGUGGGAGCCACUGUAUCCAGCCAACUUUAAAAAUACGCCCAUAAAAACAGUGUGAUACUUGUACAAGAUGCUUCUAAUUUAUACACUGCGGGCAGUUAGUGAGCAUUCAAGGACAAAUCAGGACCUAGCCUUCCAGGAGUGGUUAACAGAUGAAGUGACUUAAUCAAGGAUCAAUAUCUUCAAAGGUAGUUACUUAGCAUUUAAGUUAUAGUAUGAAAAGCUACACUAGAGAGUUUAUUAGCAUAAGGGAUGCUAGAAAUAGUUGUAUUGGCUACAUGAAUAGGUGAUUCAUUCUAAAAGAGGUCAUUGGUUAGAAAUAUUACACAGCCUCCAGUGGCCUUGCAUAUUUGAGGCUAAAAAGGCAAGUCAGGCAUUUUCAUGCCAGGGGACAUUCCUAUUGAUUCUGUCUUUCCCAUUCCCUGUGGACCUAACAAAAAUGUGCCCUGCACUUCUGAGCAAACCUUCCAGGCAAGGCACCUGUCUGAGUGACACAGGACAGGUUGGGUGACCAGGUUGCAGGACUCUUUAUACCAGCUUGCUAAUAAAUAUUUGUAUGCUUAGUAGAAUUUAGUUGAAGACUCGCUUUCAUCGUUAUCCACUAUUAGGAACAUGGCUGAGGAAAGAGACCUCAGCCCACUUAUCUCAGAAGGUCGUGGUCUUUGCCAGGUGACCCCUGCUGCUUGCUGAGUGUCUGGACUUGCUUAGGUGUGUCAGCAACAGUCCCACAGCUGGUGAGGGACAAAGGCAGAAUUUGGGACCAGCUCCAUCUUCUCCAAACCCCAGCUGCCCCUUGAAAGAAAGGAUGGUGCUGUUGAGGCUCAGAAACGGAUACCUAAAAAACGGCACUUUGACAUGCUGGACUACAGAAGCAGCCUCCAGGUCUCUCUGACCUCCCCCUCCUGUCUCUCAAUCUUCUCUCUGUCCCAAAGUGCAGGAUGAAGCUGUUCUCUGAAGUUCCCUUAUCUGCCUAAAGUCUGCACCCACCAAAGAAGAAAACAAUCACUUCUGGUCCCUUCCCUGAGUUUUCAUUAACCAAGCUCAUAUCGCAGGAAGAAAGGCUGAAGCUUAUCAACACACCUGGACAGACUUGUCACAAACCAUUGUCUUCUGCUUCAGUCCCAUUCAGUAUUUCAAAGAGAAUAUUUUACCAGCCAUUGUCUGCUCUGUGGACCCAACAGACAUUGUCCCAGGCCAUCGUAUGUUCUCCAAGCCCAUUGAAUUAUCCUAAAAAUCAUUUACUAUACCUCUCAAAGCCGUCCACAUUUCUCCAGCUUUCCCCUAUGAAGGGUAUAUAAGCAUCUGUAACCCAUCAGGUUACGGGGUCAUUGAUUUCCUAUGGUUCCCCCCAUUGCAGGUUAAAAUAAAUUCUAUAUGCCUUUUUUCCUGUGAAUCUGCCUCUUGUCAGUUGGUGUUCUGCAAACCUUCAGAGCGUGGCGAGAAAGUUUUCCCUUGGCCCCUGCAGUUUUGGCACUGUGAGCAGGACAACCAAAUCCACUCUGCUUUUCUGGAAGCUGCAGUCAAGGGAACCCAGGACCUGACAAGCUGGCAGAAGGGAUGACUGGGACUGAUACCCCUAAGCCCUUGAACUAGGAUAGCAGAGUUCUGCAUACUCCUCUUCCUGACCUUUCAUCCAUUCAACCAAGACUUACUGAUCACCUGCAAUGUUCAAAACACUGAGAGUAUGCAGGCGAAUCAGACUCCCAGUGUACUUCCAUCUGCAGCACACAGGACAUCACAGAUUGUCAACGCUGUCACACAGUACUGCUCUGGUUAUUCCUCGUGGUUAUCUUUGCUCCUCAGGGAGAUGGUGAGUGUCCAGCUCCAUGGAAGUCCUCUUGAGCUUGCCAGGUACACAGACCCCCUGCGAGUCUCUGUAAACUUGGGCAUUCUGUGUGCUGGGCUCUUGAUUUCUUGCAAACUGAUUUCAGAAUUCACUUAUAUAAAUUUUUUUUUAUUUUACUUUUUCUUUUUUCUGUUUAUUUAGAGACAAGUUCUCCCUCGGCUGCCCAGACUAGAGUGCAGUGGUGUGAUCAUAGCUCACUGAAGCCUCAAACUCCUAGGCUCCAGAGAUCCUCCCACCUCAGCCUCCUGAGCAGCUGAGACUACAGGCAUGCACCCCCACACCUGGCUAAUUUUUUAAUUUUUUGUAGAGACGGGUCUCACCAUGUUGCCUAGGCUGGUCUCAAACUCCUGAGCUCAAGCAAACCUCCCAUUUCGACCUUCCAAAGUGUUGGAACUCCAGGUGUGAGCCACCACACCCGGCCCACUUAUAGGUUUUUUGAGCUAUAAUCGCCACUGCACUCCAGUCUGGGCG